RNAcentral lists this ribosomal RNA (499 nucleotides) under uncultured bacterium. RNAcentral describes it as "partial 16S ribosomal RNA". It matches the Rfam family "Bacterial small subunit ribosomal RNA", at positions 30 to 523 of the family's 1533-position model. The record is from RNAcentral.
AUUGAACGCUGGCGGAAUGCUUUACACAUGCAAGUCGAACGGCAGCACGGACUUCGGUCUGGUGGCGAGUGGCGAACGGGUGAGUAAUGUAUCGGAACGUGCCCAGUCGUGGGGGAUAACGUAGUGAAAAUUACGCUAAUACCGCAUACGAUCUAUGGAUGAAAGCGGGGGAUCGCAAGACCUCGCGCGAUUAGAGCGGCCGAUGCCUGAUUAUCUAGUUGGUGGGGUAAAAGCCCACCAAGGCGACGAUCAGUAGCUGGUCUGAGAGGACGAUCAGCCACACUGGGACUGAGACCCGGCCCAGGCUCCUACGGGAGGCAGCAGUGAGGAAUUUUGGACAAUGGGGGCAACCCUGAUCCAGCAAUGCCGCGUGAGUGAAGAAGGCCUUCGGGUUGUAAAGCUCUUUUGUCAGGGAAGAAACACCGGCUCUAACACAGUCCGGGAAUGACGGUACCUGAAGAAUAAGCACCGGCUAACUACGUGCAAGCAGCCGCCGUAA